UGAGGAAUAUUGGUCAAUGGGCGGGAGCCUGAACCAGCCAAGUAGCGUGAAGGAUGAAGGUUCUAUGGAUUGUAAACUUCUUUUACAUGGGAAUAAAGUCGCCUACGUGUAGGCGUUUGUAUGUACCAUAUGAAUAAGGACCGGCUAACUCCGUGCCAGCAGCCGCGGUAAUACGGAGGGUCCGAGCGUUAUCCGGAUUUAUUGGGUGUAAAGGGAGCGUAGGCGGGAAGGUAAGUUGGGUGUGAAAACUAUUGGCUCAACCAAUAGACUGCACUCAAAACUACUUUUCUUGAGUGAAGUAGAGGCAGGCGGAAUUCCUAGUGUAGCGGUGAAAUGCGUAGAUAUUAGGAGGAACACCAGCGGCGAAGGCGGCUUGCUGGACGAUAACUGACGCUGAGGCUCGAAAGCGUGGGGAGCAAACA
Molecule: ribosomal RNA, 422 nt
Filed under: uncultured bacterium
Lineage: Bacteria
Description: bacterial SSU rRNA
Rfam family: Bacterial small subunit ribosomal RNA
Source: RNAcentral